CUGUGAGUCUCUUCCUCCACGUCUGUGAGUCCGUUCCUCCAUGUCUGUGAUUCUGUUUCCACAUGUCUGUGAGUCCUUUCCUCCAUGUCUGUGAGUCUGUUCCUCCAUGUCUGCGAUUCUGUUCUUCAUGUCUGCGAGUCUGUUCUUCAUGUCUGUGAGUCCAUUUCGACAUGUCUGUGAGUCUGUUAUCCAUGUCUGUGAGUCCAUUUCUCCAUGUCUGCGAGUCUGUUUCAUAAAAGUUCCUCUGUGUCAUAUUUUAGAUUCCACAAAUAAGCGUUAUCGUAUAGUACUUGUCUUUCUGUUUCCGACUUCAUUCGGUAUGAGAUCUCCCGGUGCACCCAUGUUGUUGCAGAUGGCACUAUCUCGCUCUUUUCCUGGCUGAGCAGUACUCCACAGGAUAUAUGGGCCACAUCUUUUUUAUCUGUCCAUCUGUCCAUAGAUAGUUAGGUGGCUUCCGCGUCUUGGCUGUUGUGAAUAGUGCAGCUUUGAGGAGAGGGGUGCAUGUACCUUUUUGAAUUAUUUUUNNNNNNNNNNNNNNNNNNNNNNNNNNNNNNNNNNNNNNNNNNNNNNNNNNNNNNNNNNNNNNNNNNNNNNNNNNNAUCAGCCACUUCAGCCAGCAUCAGACCUACUGCCUGGGCUGUGGGCAGCUGCAGGACGAGGGGGACACAGAGAAUUCGGUGGCUUGCAGUACCCCAGGCUGCAGAGGUCUCUUCUGUCUCACCUGCUUCCGUCUCCUGGGCAACACCUGCUCCGUGUGUGCGUCUCCCCUCUCCUGCCAGGAGGAGCUGGAUCUAGAGCUGGACUCCAGUGAUGAGGAGGGCCCCCGCCUAUGGCUGGCUGCCGCCCACCAAAAGGGUCCUGAGCAGGAGGCGCUACUGCGGCAGCAGCUCCAGGAAGCGCUGGGCAGGACCCUCUCAUCGGAUUCCAUGUCGGAAUCCAGGUGAGUGGAAGACUUCAGGCGUGGGGACUGGGAGGCCUAAGCAUGUUCGGUCACAUUUAUCAAGGGUUUCUUGGCUGCCUGGCCCUCUGCUAGAGCUGGAGAGAUAAAAGGGGUAGUGGGGAGGGGGGUUUGCCCCAUGCCUGCUGUGUCAGCACCCCUGCCCUGGGGUGAGUGGGGGAGAGCGACAUCAAGUAGAUAAGUGACAAUGUAGAGAGCACCCCAAAUGAGGAGUGAAACAGGCUCUGGGAAGCACAGAGGACAGAACACCCGGUUUGGGAUGGAGGUAUAUUAAUGAAAGCUUCACGAAAGAAGUCAAAAAAAUAGGUGGGCUUGAUUUUCACUCACAGAGAGCCAAGUAUAUCAAAUGCUGUGAGAUUAUCAAGUAGGAUGAAGCCUGGAAGCCAGAGGGUUUGUCAGGCUAAGGAGUGCAAGAGGACAUUCCAGGGGGAGGCUUGUGUGAGUCUGGAGAAUAUGGGACACUUAGAGGUGAGGGGAGGGUCAGGGAGGGGUGUAUUUGUGGCUGGGUGGAGACAGCAGAGCAUACUGGGAGAUGAGGUUGCCCAUCAAGGCAGGGAGAGGUGGGAGAGGGCCUCAGUUUACCAUCUGAAGAUCCUCAGUCAGAAAGUGAUGUAUUUGUCUUUUGGGACAAUAAGCUAAGAAGGCAGAGUGGAGGCAGGGUGGGAGCAGGGAGACCAGAGAGGAGGCUGUCUUAGCUCAGGAAAAGUUGGUGACAGCCUCAGGACUGAGGUGCUGAGAAUGACAGGGAGCUUGUGUUUGGAACUGGGUGGUGUUAGGGCAAGAGGAGAAACAGGUUCUGCAGAAACAAUGGCCCAGUUCUAGACCUUUCUGGUAUCUGUAGGGAAUCCACUGGGAAUGCCCAGGGGACAGUUAGAAAAGGGCAGGGCUCUGGGCCAGAGGUAUCUUUUGGGGGGUUGUUGACUUGGAGACUGUGAGAGAAAUGAGCUGGAUCACCCUGGUGGAGGGCAGGGCAGCAGAGGAGGAGGCAGGGACAUGACCCUGAGGGGCUCCAUCACAAACCAAGGAGGGGAGAGACUCAAGAACAGAGAGCCAAGCGGAUCCGGUGUUGUGAGAUGAUCAGGUAGGAUGAAGCCUAAAGACUGGUCAUUGAAUUUGGUGGUCGAGAGAUCCUUGGAGUGGCUUGUGGGACUAUUUCUCAUGGUGUGGGGAAGGCCAAAACCAGUCCUCGUGGGUUGAGGGGGUGACUGGUAGAGAAGACUCAGAAAUGGGGUACAUGGCUCUGUCACUGUUGCAAGUUUGGAAAUUAUUAUUAAUAUUUUUAACGUCACUGCUGUAGUUUAAAAAAGGAAGCUUGAUGGUAAAGAGGAGAGAGUUAGCUUCAUAGAACAAUAGAGUAGCUUGAAGGGAACCUAAAAGAUUUUUCUUUAUCCAAGAAAAAGCUUUUUCUUUACCCAAGUAUGGGGAGAUUUGAGGAUUUCAGAGAUGAAAAAAGUGUUGAAGAGUGAGAGAUGCCGGAGAGAUGGGAUCUAGGGCCAGGUGAACAGGGUGGCCUCAAAUAGGACCGGGCUCGCCCGAGGCAGGAGGGGAGAGGGCAUGUUCCUC
RNAcentral lists this long non-coding RNA (2521 nucleotides) under Capra hircus (goat). Its description in RNAcentral is "lncRNA (ENSCHIG00010026854.1)". Lineage: Eukaryota; Metazoa; Chordata; Mammalia; Artiodactyla; Bovidae. The record is from RNAcentral.